This 505-nucleotide ribosomal RNA is filed under the name uncultured bacterium. RNAcentral describes it as "partial 16S ribosomal RNA". It matches the Rfam family "Bacterial small subunit ribosomal RNA", at positions 28 to 507 of the family's 1533-position model. The record is from RNAcentral.
GACGAACGCUGGCGGCGUGCCUAAUACAUGCAAGUAGAACGCACAGUUUAUACCGUAGCUUGCUACACCAUAGACUGUGAGUUGCGAACGGGUGAGUAACGCGUAGGUAACCUGCCUGGUAGCGGGGGAUAACUAUUGGAAACGAUAGCUAAUACCGCAUAAUAUUGAUUAUUGCAUGAUAAUUGAUUGAAAGAUGCUAUUGCAUCACUACCAGAUGGACCUGCGUUGUAUUAGCUAGUAGGUGAGGUAACGGCUCACCUAGGCGACGAUACAUAGCCGACCUGAGAGGGGGAUAGGCCACACUGGGAGGGAGAGACGGCCCAGAAUCCUACGGGAGGCAGCAGGAGGGAAUCUUCGGCAAUGGACGAAAGGCUGAACGAGCAACGCCGCGGGAGUGAAGAAGGGUGUCGGAUCGUAAAGCUCUGUUGUAAGAGAAGAACGGGUGUGAGAGUGGAAAGUUCACACUGUGACGGUAUCUGACCAGAAAGGGACGGCUAACUACGUG